Molecule: long non-coding RNA, 3043 nt
Organism: Malaclemys terrapin pileata
Lineage: Eukaryota; Metazoa; Chordata; Testudines; Emydidae
Exons: 3
Source: RefSeq, a predicted model, not a curated record
GCUAUGUGGUCUCAGCUCACGAUCACAGUAGGGUUCCCAACAGUCCCUUAUUACAACGGAUGUCCUUUAUUUUUCAUCUCUGUGCAGCAAGAUUGGGAGUUUUUGAGUGCUGCAAAAAGCAACAAGAAAUACCCUUGGUGAAUGUAGUAAGAAAUCACAAUGCACAGAACCAAACAAAAGAUAAAUGCAGGGGCCGAAAAUGAAAGGCAGACAAAGGACAGAGAGGAAUUAGCUGCUGGGAGGAAAGGAACUGAAAGAAAGACAGACGGGGAGGAAAAAAACUGGAACCACAAAGAAAAAUAAAGAGCCCUCCUGGUAUGAAUCAACUGGCACCUAAGUAUUCCCUUCACCGUUAUCUGCGGGGCUCAGCAGCCACCCAGUGUGUGAAUCGUAGAGACUUCUGAAUGGAAGCUACCACUGUGUUGGGGACGAAAGGAAAGGUACUUUUAGGUCCCAGGUUUCCACUCCCCCAGUGGCCUCCAGAUCAAUCUCAGAUGAGAUUGGAAACCUCUACUUAGCAAGCUAUAUUUCCACAGACUGAGCCCAAACAGCAGGAAAGCUCUUUUUUUUCUUUUUGCUCCACUCCUCCUCCUUUUACCCCCCCGUACUGCAGGCUGCUGUGGUAACUGGAGUUUCUAAAUCACAUGGCUGUCCAUUGAAGCUGUCCAGGAGCAAAAAAGAGUUCAUCGCUGAGCAAUCCAGUGUCUAAUGGCAGGGAGCGAGACAGAGAAGAGCAAGCUGAGGAGAGAGGCUGUGUGUAUGUGCGACAAACUAGAUCUAAGGUGCAGAGAAUGCAUGCAUGAAAAUAGAACUGCGGUGCAUAGAAUGCAUGUGUAUAUAACAGGAAUCAUGGAGCACUGUGCCUGCCUACACACUAUGGAGGGGCACAGCAUUGUGUAUAUAUGAACAGAGCUAGAACAGAGGAGCAUGCAAACAGCAUUGUGUUUAUGACUAGAACUGAGGAGUGCACACACACAGUGUUGUAUGGUGUGUAUGUGUGUAAUUGAAAUGUACUAACUUCCAAACUUAAGUAGACCCUAAAAUAAAUAAAAUUCAGUAACAUGCCAGCUGCACAUCAUUAAGAAAGCUCUUGUUUUAUUCAACUAUCUUCCUGUACACAGAGACAGAUGUAAGUUGGCUGCCACCAAUUGAAGGUAGAUUUUUAAGGUAGACUCUGGUUUGAUUUGCAAAAAAGGUCUGCAAACAAUCAAGCACAUUUAAUGUGUGUGUGCAAUUGCUGCAAUUCAGCAUCAUGUGCAACGGGCCUACUAUGCACCCAACUGGCUGCUUAUAUGCUUAAUCGUGUUACAUUCACAGUUGUGAUAAUUGUGCACACAAAAUUAAAUGUGCUUGCAUUUGCUACGUGCACAACUUUGAAAAUCUGCCCAUUAAAUUGCACACCUUAUGCUAUACCAAGCCACACAAAAUACCAACCCUACACAUAUUUCUCCCCUUAAUUAACGAAAUUUAUAAACUAGAAAAUAAGUGUAGAUUACUGUACUAAAAUCCUCUAAAUUCUGACCCAAAACAUGGUGGGGUGACUAACAACUAUAAUUUCAAGUAUCAGAGGGGUAGCCGUGUUAGUCUGUAUCCACAAAAACAACCAGGAGUCCGGUGGCACCUUAAAGGCUAACAGAUUUGAAGAAGUGCAUCUGAAGAAGUGGGUUUUUUAACCCACAAAAGCUUCUGCCCAAAUAAAUCUGUUAGUCUUUAAGGUGCCACCAAACUAUAAUUUCAGAUGAUCGGGAUGCCUUCUAGCUCUCACUGCAUGAUAUCUGGGUUGUGGGGUUCUGGGUUUUCAUUACAACAUGAUAUAGUAUAGAAAAAGACUUCUGAGUGGAAUCAUUACUGGCAUGGAAGCAGAAGCUGACAGAAGAUCAUUUACUAACAUUGAAGAUGAAAGUGGCUCUGAAAUAGAAGAGUUAUAGCAAAAAAAAAAAGUGCCCCAUUCACACGUUUAGUACCUAAGGCUCUUGAACUUUCUGUGACAGCUGAAGAGGGUGGUAUAGUCAGUGGGGCCAUUUAUAUGUUUGAAGUUAAGCGUGGCUUAAGUGCUUUGCUGCAUCAGUGCUCAGCACCUUGCAGUUUACAGACUACUGUUUGCAGCUGAGUCAGCACAGUUUCAAUUUGCACUUUGCUGACAUUUGGAAGUUUUUCUUCAUAAUCAUAAGGGCUAGAUUUUUUUUAUUACGACUUUGAGUCUGUAGAUGCUGAUGAACCACAUCGGAGACGGGAGUGGCCUUCAACUUUGUCCUCUUCUGGAUCUUCAGAUAUAAAAUAUUCUGAUUUUCCUAUGCCACAUCAGGUCCAAAACUUGGGACAUACUGGACUGUACACUGUACUAUAGGCAGAGUGCAUUGUAAUGCCAAUAGUUAGGAUUGCAUUAGCAUUUCCAUUCUAAAGGGUAUUUUCCAAUUGCCUAUAAACUCCACCUACGUUUGCCUUUCAGAGUGAAAUGUUCUACCUUUGUUCUUAGCAAGAGGGCCCUUUUAAAAAAAAUAGUUUGAACAAAAAUAGUUCAGUCAGUUUUCAGUAUGAAAAAAAUACACAUUUGCCAUGAUGAAAAAUGACAUCAGGAAUCAAAAUACUCAAAAACCAGUGGGAGAACACUUUAACCUGUCUGGUCAUUCAGUGACAGACCUGCGGGUGGCUAUAUUACAACAGAAAAACUUCAAAAACAGACUCCAAAGAGAGACUGCAGAGCUAGAAUUGAUAUGCAAACUAGACACAAUCAACUCCGGUUUGAAUAAGGACUGGGAAUGGCUGAGCCAUUACAAACAUUGAAUCUAUCUCCCCUUGUAAGUAUUCUCACACUUCUUAUCAAACUGUCUGUACUUGGCUAGCUUGAUUAUCACUUCAAAAGUUUUUUUUCUCUUAAUUAAUUGGCCUCUCAGAGUUGGUAAGACAACUCCCACCUGUUUAUGCUCUCUGUAUGUGUGUAUAUAUAUCUCCUCAAUAUAUGUUCCAUUCUAUAUGCAUCUGAUGAAGUGGGCUGUAGUCCACGAAUGCUUAUGCUCUAAUAAAUUUGUUAGUCUCUAAGGUG